UGGGGAAUAUUGCACAAUGGGCGCAAGCCUGAUGCAGCCAUGCCGCGUGUAUGAAGAAGGCCUUCGGGUUGUAAAGUACUUUCAGCGGGGAGGAAGGGAGUAAAGUUAAUACCUUUGCUCAUUGACGUUACCCGCAGAAGAAGCACCGGCUAACUCCGUGCCAGCAGCCGCGGUAAUACGGAGGGUGCAAGCGUUAAUCGGAAUUACUGGGCGUAAAGCGCACGCAGGCGGUUUGUUAAGUCAGAUGUGAAAUCCUCGGGCUCAACCUGGGAACUGCAUCUGGUACUGGCAAGCUUGAGUCUCGUAGAGGGGGGUAGAAUUCCAGGUGUAGCGGUGAAAUGCGUAGAGAUCUGGAGGAAUACCGGUGGCGAAGGCGGCCCCCUGGACGAAGACUGACGCUCAGGUGCGAAAGCGUGGGGAGCAAACAGG
RNAcentral lists this ribosomal RNA (429 nucleotides) under Chloroflexota bacterium. RNAcentral's name for it is "Chloroflexi bacterium partial 16S ribosomal RNA". It matches the Rfam family "Bacterial small subunit ribosomal RNA", at positions 355 to 776 of the family's 1533-position model. Lineage: Bacteria; Bacillati; Chloroflexota. The record is from RNAcentral.